Molecule: long non-coding RNA, 709 nt
Organism: Panicum virgatum (switchgrass)
Lineage: Eukaryota; Viridiplantae; Streptophyta; Magnoliopsida; Poales; Poaceae
Exons: 3
Source: RefSeq, a predicted model, not a curated record
GUGGUGUGCCUUGCACCCAAGUCCAGGCAUACUGUUUGGCCCACAAAGGAAAGGCGAUGUCUGAUGUCACCUUCAACCCGCAGGAUCCGCCCGAAGUGUACAGCAACGCAAGCGUCCACAGCCGCCUCAGUGGGUACACCUCGAUGGCACAAGAAGUUCAUGGGGCGGAGUUUGAUGCGAUCAAUGAGCCCAUUGAUGGAGAAGUCGUCAUGAGGGUGGGAGGAGGCAAGAAGCAUGGACGGUACUGGUUUGGCGACAGCUUAGUCGACACGGCGACUACUCCAACUCUCUCGCAGAUUCGAGCCAGGAGUACCAGCUCAAGCCCUGCCAUACGCCCACGGCCAGACACUACACAGACUCAGAUUGAGGCUGUCAAGGCCCAGAUGGAAGCAGCCUUCCAAGCACGGCAGGAGGCGGCAGAGGAGAGGUGUAGGGCCGAGCGGGACGACAUCUAGCAAAAAUUGGAUCAAGCUCUAACAUUUAUCCAAAGCCUGGGCUCGGUGAUGGGUGUUUCGCCUCCACAAUUCCCUCCGGCCCCACUUGUUCGUCGUGCAGAAACUCCUCCUACCAAUCAGUCGGCGGCAUCCAAUGAUGGGCCAGUGAAUCCUGACUUCUCGCCUCCGGUGCAGCAGACUCAGCAGCCUCAGCAGUUUGUGUGGCCACCGCCUCAAUGGGUGGCUUGGAUUCAGCAGCAGCAGCAGCAGCCAGG